GACGAACGCUGGCGGCGUGCUUAACACAUGCAAGUCGAACGGAAAGGCCCUGCUUUUGUGGGGUGCUCGAGUGGCGAACGGGUGAGUAACACGUGAGUAACCUGCCCUUGACUUUGGGAUAACUUCAGGAAACUGGGGCUAAUACCGGAUAGGAGCUCCUGCUGCAUGGUGGGGGUUGGAAAGUUUCGGCGGUUGGGGAUGGACUCGCGGCUUAUCAGCUUGUUGGUGGGGUAGUGGCUUACCAAGGCUUUGACGGGUAGCCGGCCUGAGAGGGUGACCGGCCACAUUGGGACUGAGAUACGGCCCAGACUCCUACGGGAGGCAGCAGUGGGGAAUAUUGCACAAUGGGCGGAAGCCUGAUGCAGCAACGCCGCGUGCGGGAUGACGGCCUUCGGGUUGUAAACCGCUUUCGCCUGUGACGAAGCGUGGGUGACGGUAAUGGGUAAAGAAGCACCGGCUAACUACGCG
Molecule: ribosomal RNA, 468 nt
Filed under: uncultured bacterium
Lineage: Bacteria
Description: partial 16S ribosomal RNA
Rfam family: Bacterial small subunit ribosomal RNA
Source: RNAcentral